Molecule: ribosomal RNA, 224 nt
Filed under: uncultured bacterium
Lineage: Bacteria
Description: partial 16S ribosomal RNA
Rfam family: Bacterial small subunit ribosomal RNA
Source: RNAcentral
UGAGUAAUACAUCGGAACGUGUCUUCUAGUGGGGGAUAACUGCCCGAAAGGGCAGCUAAUACCGCAUGAGACCUGAGGGUGAAAGCGGGGGAUCGCAAGACCUCGCGCUGGAAGAGCGGCAGAUGUCCGAUUAGCUAGUUGGUGAGGUAAAGGCUCACCAAGGCGACGAUCGGUAGCCGGACUGAGAGGUUGGCCGGCCACAUUGGGACUGAGACACGGCCCAG